AGGGAAUCUUCCGCAAUGGGCGAAAGCCUGACGGAGCAACGCCGCGUGAGUGAUGAAGGUCUUCGGAUCGUAAAGCUCUGUUGUUAGGGAAGAACAAAUGUGUAAGUAACUGUGCACAUCUUGACGGUACCUAACCAGAAAGCCACGGCUAACUACGUGCCAGCAGCCGCGGUAAUACGUAGGUGGCAAGCGUUAUCCGGAAUUAUUGGGCGUAAAGCGCGCG
RNAcentral lists this ribosomal RNA (223 nucleotides) under Staphylococcus chromogenes. RNAcentral describes it as "partial 16S ribosomal RNA". It matches the Rfam family "Bacterial small subunit ribosomal RNA", at positions 356 to 571 of the family's 1533-position model. Lineage: Bacteria; Bacillati; Bacillota; Bacilli; Caryophanales; Staphylococcaceae. The record is from RNAcentral.